GAUGAACGCUGGCGGCGUGCCUAAUACAUGCCAGUCGAGCGAACAGACGAGGAGCUUGCUCCUCUGACGUUAGCGGCGGACGGGUGAGUAACACGUGGAUAACCUACCUAUAAGACUGGGAUAACUUCGGGAAACCGGAGCUAAUACCGGAUAAUAUAUUGAACCGCAUGGUUCAAUAGUGAAAGACGGUUUUGCUGUCACUUAUAGAUGGAUCCGCGCCGCAUUAGCUAGUUGGUAAGGUAACGGCUUACCAAGGCAACGAUGCGUAGCCGACCUGAGAGGGUGAUCGGCCACACUGGAACUGAGACACGGUCCAGACUCCUACGGGAGGCAGCAGUAGGGACUCUUCCGCAAUGGGCGAAAGCCUGACGGAGCAACGCCGCGUGAAUGAUGAAGGUCUUCGGAUCGUAAAACUCUGUUAUUAGGGAAGACCAAAUGUGUAAGUAACUAUGCACGUCUUGACGGUACCUAAUCAGAAAGCCACGGCUAACUACGUG
RNAcentral lists this ribosomal RNA (497 nucleotides) under uncultured bacterium. RNAcentral's name for it is "partial 16S ribosomal RNA". It matches the Rfam family "Bacterial small subunit ribosomal RNA", at positions 28 to 507 of the family's 1533-position model. The record is from RNAcentral.